RNAcentral lists this ribosomal RNA (382 nucleotides) under uncultured bacterium. Its description in RNAcentral is "bacterial SSU rRNA". It matches the Rfam family "Bacterial small subunit ribosomal RNA", at positions 30 to 414 of the family's 1533-position model. The record is from RNAcentral.
AUUGAACGCUGGCGGCAUGCCUUACACAUGCAAGUCGAACGGCAGCACGGGAGCAAUCCUGGUGGCGAGUGGCGAACGGGUGAGUAAUAUAUCGGAACGUGCCCAGUCGUGGGGAUAACGUAGCGAAAGCUACGCUAAUACCGCAUACGAUCUAUGGAUGAAAGCGGGGGGAUCGCAAGACCUCGCGCGAUUGGAGCGGCCGAUAUCAGAUUAGGUAGUUGGUGAGGUAAAGGCUCACCAAGCCGACGAUCUGUAGCUGGUCUGAGAGGACGACCAGCCACACUGGGACUGAGACACGGCCCAGACUCCUACGGAGGCAGCAGUGGGAAUUUUGGACAAUGGGCGCAAGCCUGAUCCAGCAAUGCCGCGUGCAGGAUGAAGG